AUGUCUCCAUCUCAAAAACGACUGUAUUUUUGGGAAGGUUGCUUCAGAGUUCAUGUUCUAUUGGCCAUUCCACUGAUUCUGCAUCUCCUUGACAAACGAAUCUUGGGCCAAAAGUUCAUUGUGGGGACACUGUUGCUAUUCUACUCUUCAUACGUGAAGGAGUUUGGGUAUAAAAAGAACAAAAGGCAACAUUUGAAGAUAUCUCAGAAACCAUUCAAAAGGAAAAACCUUGAUGAUUAGUCAGUAAUUUAGGAGGGAAAAAGUGAAAGGUACUGGCUCUUCCCUUUCCAUGUUGUUAUGUCUGUUCCCCUGCCAUGCAAAAUUGGACGGAUCCUGUACAGUGAUUUAUCUAUAGAAUUAUAGGGUUUUUGAGCUAGAUAAGCCCUUAAGGAUCAUCUGGUUGACUCCCACAUUUUAUAUAUGAUUAAGUAAAAACCCAAUGACAUUCAAAUUGUUCAAGAUUUUACAGCUAGUAAGUGCCAGGACUGAAAUUUGAAACCAAGGUUCCAGACCUUUCUACCAGGCACACUGCCUUUCUGGUGCAAAUUCCAUUUGAGAGCUAAUGACAUAUCUACCAAUCCUUGACAUUUAGGCUGGACAGUAUAAGAUUUAAGUUUAGGAUAUUAUUAAUUCUUACUAACUAAAGUACUCAAGAAAGUGAAUGAUCUCAGAUUUAAGAUUAUAGAACUAAACAUGAAAAAAAUUGCCUGUAUCUAAAUAUGUUGCACAAAUGUAGAAGUGUAUAUCCUACAUUUCCUGUAACAGGCUUAUACAAUGAAUUCUGAGUAAGGUGCCUUAAGUCUAGUAAUUCAGAUUGUAGGUGAUUAAGCCCUCUGGAAAACUGAAUCGCCGUGAUCUUAAAUUUUUCUCACUGUAAAUUUAGUCUCAUUGCUUAUUAAAUAUUGCUCACCUUUUCCAAACCAAAUUAACAUCCAAAUUUUCCAUCUAAAAGAUGGCAUAUUUUAUCCCAUCAUCUUUAUUGCUGUUAUUUCCAGGCAUUCAUAAUUUUAUAAAAUGUUCCUACAACUGUUAACCCAAGUCACAGGCUUUAUCAGUCUGGCCCUAUUUAAAUUGUUUCCCCAACAAUUUCUAAGGUCCCAGGGUAAUGCCUCAGAAAUACUUAGGACUGGUCACCAUCUUUUACACCUGCUUCUUUGUCUUUCUUCUGGACAGGAAUGUUGACGGACACCACUCUCCUCCCCUGAUGACAACUCUUGAUGCAUCCCUACUGUGGCAAGGUUAGUCCCUCUCCAGAUUUUCCAUGUCUAAACUGUGGUGAAACCAUACUCCUUAAAAAACAUAUCUUGAAGAUUCCAGGAAAAGGAAAUUGAAAACAGAGAAUAACUUCCAACAGCCAAGAGAAGUAGAUCUUUAGAGUUAACAAGUCCAAACCCAAAAUAUGAAACCCUGCCUAAUUCCCAGCAGUCCAUCCCGUGGCAGGGAGGCAGCUCAAAAGGAAACAGGUUAACUCCAGGUAUCUCCUUAUCUGGGAGUUCAGGUUCCAUGCCCCCCAGCUUAAAGAAAGAAGUCCUCCAAAUUCUCUCAAGCCUAAGUUGGGCUUUAUCUUCCUGCCUGGAAUUUUCCUCUUCCCAGAUGUGGGGUGGUAGGAAUCCUGUAGUCUAGCCACUCAACAAUUGAUCUGGGCUUCAUAGCUUGAACAAAAUAAUCACAAUCGAAGGCAGUAUAUUUUCCAAAGUCUGGCUUGUGCAGUCUUAAAAUUACCUCAUUGUAAGAAAAAACUGCUUUAGAGGGAAACUAUGCAUUGUCUAGCCCAGAGGACACCCACCCCUCUGGGUUAUCUGAUUCUAAAGGGGCUAUUUUAUAAUGCUGUAAAUUAUUGAUGACUGAUAUCAAUGCAAAACACUUGUUUACAGACAUCAAAUUGUUUCCUGUCCAGUAGAGGGAUAGAGGUUCAAUUGACUUCUCUCUCCUGCUGUGAAAAAAGGCUCAUUUUGUUUCAAUUUGCGUAUUCAUUUCCCUAUUUCACAUCUAUAACUGUGUCUGUUCUUUGUAUUCUCCUUUGAACUGGCUGAUACCUUAGCAUUUUCCUUAUUAAUGAGUUAAAUAAAAUCUUUAAUACGUGUUCGUAUGUGUUGUAUAGGAGAGUCACGAUUUUACCAUUAAAAAAAUUAUCUUUAACGCCAUGUAUGAGACCCUGAAGUAUGGUUAGU
This 2171-nucleotide long non-coding RNA is filed under the name Macaca mulatta (Rhesus monkey). RNAcentral describes it as "lncRNA (ENSMMUG00000049497.1)". Lineage: Eukaryota; Metazoa; Chordata; Mammalia; Primates; Cercopithecidae. The record is from RNAcentral.